Molecule: ribosomal RNA, 429 nt
Filed under: Gemmatimonadota bacterium
Lineage: Bacteria; Pseudomonadati; Gemmatimonadota
Description: Gemmatimonadetes bacterium partial 16S ribosomal RNA
Rfam family: Bacterial small subunit ribosomal RNA
Source: RNAcentral
UAGGGAAUCUUCGGCAAUGGACGAAAGUCUGACCGAGCAACGCCGCGUGAGUGAAGAAGGUUUUCGGAUCGUAAAACUCUGUUGUUAGAGAAGAACAAGGACGUUAGUAACUGAACGUCCCCUGACGGUAUCUAACCAGAAAGCCACGGCUAACUACGUGCCAGCAGCCGCGGUAAUACGUAGGUGGCAAGCGUUGUCCGGAUUUAUUGGGCGUAAAGCGAGCGCAGGCGGUUUCUUAAGUCUGAUGUGAAAGCCCCCGGCUCAACCGGGGAGGGUCAUUGGAAACUGGGAGACUUGGGUGCAGAAGAGGAGAGUGGAAUUCCAUGUGUAGCGGUGAAAUGCGUAGAUAUAUGGGGGAACACCAGUGGCGAAGGCGGCUCUCUGGUCUGUAACUGACGCUGAGGCUCGAAAGCGUGGGGAGCAAACAGG